Non-coding RNA from Nicotiana sylvestris (wood tobacco), 97 nucleotides. The record is from Rfam. Lineage: Eukaryota; Viridiplantae; Streptophyta; Magnoliopsida; Solanales; Solanaceae.
UGGACAGAUUAUUGUAUUCGACUGUAUUCACGGCAUGAAAUAGGGGAUUACAGUGUUUUUAAAACGGAAAGUGAAUCAAUUAACAUAAUAUACUCCU